GUUAGCUGCCAGGAAGUGGACAGCAGACCGGAAGUGAGGCCAGACUACCCAACCGCAGGGCCCACCCCAGUCAAUCACUUCCUCUGUGAGGCUCCACUGGCUAAGUCAGGGCCAGCACAUGCGGACCAGAUGUUCAAACCCAGGAGCUUCAGCAGACGUCAAGCGGAAGCCUUAUUUUACUGGUCAGCCAUUUCCAUUCUCACUCAGUAGAGCUGAGAUAUGAUGGAGACUUCACAAUGACUGCUCAAGAGCGAAUCAGAUACUAGAGAAAACUGCUGAAAAAGCAAUGGAUCCAUGACAAAGGUCCAGUGUCUGACAAGUUGAAUGCACAGCCAAGGAAAUAAAAGCUUUAUGGAGCUGGGCAGAGAGCCAAGCCAGGAAAGUUCCUGCAUCGAGAGCAUGAGAAUCUGAACCUGACCCCCUACACCCCAGUAAUAAUGGUAUGAUUUGACUGCUUUCCCAAAGGCUCCCAGAUGUCAAGCUUGGACCUGGAGAAAUACUGCAGAGGCAAUGGAAUCUUUAAGAGGCAUCCAUCUUUUGCAGAAAGACAAGCACUUGCCUUCAUCACCGUCAUCCCCGAAUGGGUAGAAGAGAGCCACAGCCAGGUUGAUGAACACAGCCAGGUUGAAGGAGAUGCUCCCCCAGAGUGAGAUGUGCCUGGAGAACCAGAACAGGGCGGGGUUGUCUAGGAAGCAACAAGAACAGGGGUGAGAAUGGCCAGUAUAUGCUGCCGUCAACACAGGAGCCCUGCCGAGCUAACAGUAUGGGCAAUGCGAUUGUGACUGGUCACAGAAGUGCGUCUGAAGAAACCGUGACUUACUUAGAAAGCAUAUUAUAAGACCAGAUGGUAAAGGCAUUUUUCUUAGUUCCUUUUUUAUCCUUCAAGAGUGUGAGCAAAGGUGAUUCUACAGUAAAUCCCUAGAUUCUGGACCAUGCAAAUUAGGGGAACGUGGCAAAUGGUUCACGGGCCCCACUCACUGGAGGACUGAUAAUACUGAUGGGUAGGAUGGUCUUAUCCUCACGAUGUAAUUUCAUAAAAGCCAGGAGGGCAGACUCAGGUAUAUAUCUACUGGAAAGACUUUUACAGGUGCAGUUACCUGGAAACCGCAGUCUCAGCACUGCAGCUCAGCAUGCAUGGGAACCAGAGAGACAUAAUGGUUUCCCAGGCCUGCAGUCUCAGCAUCCACUGAGAGGCUGAGGCAGAAGGAUGCCUACAAGUUUGAUAGCAACAUGGGAGUCUGAGGCCAGCCUCGGUUAUGCAGUGAGACCCCACUUUUUAAAAAUGCUAUAGUAUUAUCUACACUUUUAAUUUGAAUGUUUCUAAUUAUGUUCUGGUUUUGAAGCCACGGGAGAAAAGUCCACAGUAAGAAGUCAAUAAUUUGCUGAGUAUUUCCAGAAAGGGAAAAUGCCUGUCAUCAGAAAGGAGUUAAUAAAUGUAUCUACCAGUAUUUAACAGAAACUCAGUUCUUUCCACAUCUAAAUAGCUGUGGAAAUUUGUAAUGCAAGUGGUUUAGAGGAGCUACAUUAUCAGCCUACAUUGGACGCUUUGUGGCUCCUUUGGGUCUUGUCUACCAUUCAUCUUGUAAUGUCUUGACAUAGGAUUGAAAUACAGAAUGGGAUGGACAUGGUGGUGUUUGUUCAUAACCCUAGCAUUUGGGAGGUGGAAGCGGGAAGACCAGUAGCUGAAGGUCAGCCUAAGCUACAGAGUGAGUUUGAAGCCACCCUGGGCUACAUGAAACCCUAUUUCAAACGAAACAACCUAAAAGACGAAAAUGCUAGAGUUUGGGGCUGGAGAGAUGGCUCAGCAGUUAGGACAUGCACUGUUUUUGCAGAGGGCCCAGCUCAGUUCCCGGCACCCACAUCAAGUAGGUGACCAUUGCUGUAACUCCAAAUCCAGGGCAUAUGACACCUUUCAGCCUUUGCAGGUACUAUACGCAUGUGUAAAAGACCACAAUAAGCAAAGGCACAUACACAUAAUUAAAAAUCAUAAUUAAAAAUUUAAAGACAAAAUAUCAGAGUCAGUAGGGUGAGGUUUAUGACAGGGAAAAUCGUGUACUUUUUGGAUCUAUGUCAUACCUCUGUCUGGGCCCUCUGUUGUCUGGGAUUGUGUCCCUCCUGAGUUCUCACUUUCCUCCUCUUGGGCAAUACUCCACAGUGGAGGAGGCUGUGAUGGGAAUUUUACUGGGCAAUCCCAUGAUCGUGAACUGUAGACACCUGUGCUGUUCCCACUCCUCUCUAUCUACAAGUCCACAGAAUCACUGAGACAAUAUCCUUGUGAUCAACUGCUUCUAAGACUUAAAAUACCAUGCCCACUGGUAAUUAUUUUAAGUUUUAUUUUUGUAAUAAAUAGGUAAACAAAUAAAUAAAAUGUUUGCCACAAAACACA
This is a long non-coding RNA of Mus musculus (house mouse), 2386 nucleotides long. RefSeq annotates it as predicted gene, 35768. Lineage: Eukaryota; Metazoa; Chordata; Mammalia; Rodentia; Muridae. The transcript is spliced from 5 exons. The record is from RefSeq and is a predicted model, not a curated record.